RNAcentral lists this microRNA precursor (95 nucleotides) under Amazona collaria (yellow-billed parrot). RNAcentral's name for it is "miRNA (ENSACOG00000008217.1)". It matches the Rfam family "mir-365 microRNA precursor family". The record is from RNAcentral. Lineage: Eukaryota; Metazoa; Chordata; Aves; Psittaciformes; Psittacidae.
GCAGCAAGAAAAAUGAGGGACUUUCAGGGGCAGCUGUGUUUUACUAACCCAGUCAUAAUGCCCCUAAAAAUCCUUAUUGUUCUUGCAAUGGUCAA